Molecule: long non-coding RNA, 1917 nt
Filed under: Panax ginseng (ginseng)
Lineage: Eukaryota; Viridiplantae; Streptophyta; Magnoliopsida; Apiales; Araliaceae
Description: long non-coding RNA (PGIN_LNC003261)
Source: RNAcentral
CCUUAUUCUUAAGUCGACCUCAGUUUUAAAGUCUUAACUAUCUAAUAUCAAGCUAAGAGCAAAUUGGUGUGUGAGCUCCUUGUGAAAGCUAAAAGGUAAAGAGGAAAAAUCUACUAAUGGAUAAUAAAAGUUCUCUAACUUCAAUUCUCAGCCAAGAAAACUGGUGCUACUAAGAAAUCAUAUAUGUAUCCUCCUUAUUCUAUUCUACAGCCUACAAGUAAGGUCCUUAGCUAAUAUAUAUGGUUAGAUACUCUUGAUUUAUACUGGCAUAUUUGUGAUCUUUCUAUUCUUUGAGUUGAAAGAUUGUAAUGGAGCUUUGUUAAUAGCUGUGACUCUGCAUUUACGUAUAUAUGAAGUUGCAUCAGAAUAUAUACUAGCAAUAUCUUAGAUGGUUACAACUCUCUCGUUUCUUUCUGUUUAUCAUUCUUUUCUACUAUUAACUAACUUUAGUUCUGUGCUAGCAUCUGCUUUGCCCAUGAAUGUGAUUGGUCCAUGAACAUGAUUUGCUUCAAGUUUAUGAAAAUGGAGGUAUUGAGAACUUAACUGUAGAUAUAUAAUGGUUAGGUUUGAGUGACAUUUCUAAGUCCCAAUAAUUCAUGUUCUUUACAUGGUCCCAUCAAUUUUAGAUGCAAGUGGGAUAAUCAUAGUACAUGUAGUAGUGUAGGCUUUUUUGUUGGAUCCCACUAGCACUAGCUACUUUGGCUGUGUUUGAUAGAAUCAAUGCUAUUAUGUCCUUCAUCUUGUCUGGGUGUUUUAAUUUGGAGAAAGGCAAAAAAUGGGGGAAAAUUUGAAAAAUAAAGUGUAUUGGAGUUUUUUUUCAGGAUUGAAUUCUCUUGCAAGAAAUUAUAGAGAUCACUAUGCAUCUAUGUGAUUACAUCUUAAGAUUCUAAAAAAGAAAAAGUUGCAGCAUCUCAGGACAGGUAAUUUAUUUAUCUAUUAUUAUUAUUUUUCUCACUGAGAUCAAGCAGAACUGCAUGGGAGAGACAUAAUAUUUGUAUUCCUAGUCCAACAAAUGUUUAUCUGUUCAUGAACUUCUAUUGUACAUGGGUUUUCUUGAUUUGAUGUACUCAAGACUCGCUAUGCUAUGAAGAUUAAUAAAUAAUGGUUUUAAAUUUUGUAUCUCAAAAUGUGUCACAAAUACACAUUAACAUUACACUGGUAUAUGCAAUAAUUGGUAAGGACCCAGCAUGAUGUUCAACAAUGAAUGUAAUUACUACAUGUGUAUUUUAGAUACAUUUUGCGACCCCUCAAUAUUAUAUUUUUCCAAUUGCAGGAGUAUAUAAUUAUUGGUACUCCAAUCAUAUUCGUUCGAAAAGUUCAAAUUGCUCGGGCUCAGUUCGAGAUCAAAACAAACCUCAAUCAAAUCUUAUUUUAUCUGAGUAAGUCAAUAUUCGGCUCGACUCGACUCGGUUGAUUCUUAUUUAUGGCUGAAUUGAAAAUUAAUGGACGAUUUUUUUUUAAUUUGUUGGUUUUUAAUAUUGUGGCCUCAGAAGUGGUUGAGAAUUGAAGUCUACUUUUACCAUUUUUGUUAUAUAGAUGUAAGAAGAGAUUAUUUGUGGUGAUGAACUUGUGAUUAUCUCUUGAUUUUCAGGUAUGAGCAUCUUCUAAAUAGUGCCGGUGCAGCUGUGAUAAUACUGAAAAGGCCUGGCUAUAUAUAUACAAAGUGUUUGUGAGUCAUCUUGUUCAAUCAAAUCUUGAAAUGGGCCAGAUAAUGCUGUUUAUGAUUCAUCUUGUUCCCUUCUUUCCACAAAGUCUUUGCCAAGAUCAUGACAUCCAUUUACUCUUAUUCUUAUACGUCAGAUGUUGAACAUUUACUUUUGUCUAUGGACUUGUAUUUUAGUUAUCUCCUUUCAUCUCUUUUAUUUUAAAAUAUAUUUGUUAUUUAAUGGAAUUUAUUUUCAAUACCCUAACUAGUUU